Molecule: unclassified non-coding RNA, 268 nt
Filed under: uncultured fungus
Lineage: Eukaryota; Fungi
Description: partial contains 5.8S ribosomal RNA, internal transcribed spacer 2, and large subunit ribosomal RNA
Source: RNAcentral
ACGCACAUUGCGCCCAUCAGUACUCUGGUGGGCAUGCCUGUCCGAGCGUCAUUUCAACCCUUCAGGCCCUGUAUUGCCUGGCGUUGGGGCCUAUCUGUGAUCCCCUCCGGGGGUCACAGGCCCCCAAGAUCAGUGGCGGGCUCCGCCGUGGACUCCGAGCGUAGUAGUUUAUUCUCGCUCAGGGGGUCUCCGGGCGGGUCCGGCCGUUAAACCACCCAAUUUAUAGAAGGUUGACCUCGGAUCAGGUAGGGAUACCCGCUGAACUUAA